GCGUCCGAGGAUGUCCGAGGUUAUGGCUAUUCCCUGCACUCCGAAGGCAGAGGCCACAGGUUCGAAUCCUGUCGGGUGCACCA
Molecule: transfer RNA, 83 nt
Filed under: Aurantiacibacter rhizosphaerae
Lineage: Bacteria; Pseudomonadati; Pseudomonadota; Alphaproteobacteria; Sphingomonadales; Erythrobacteraceae
Description: Erythrobacter sp. GH3-10 tRNA-Arg
Source: RNAcentral